GGAACGCACCGUAUGUGUUAUUCAAAAGCAGUGGCAAGUCCAAGCUCCUAUCUUAAUCCUCGCUUGUUAUUAUGGAAGCCUGGAUCCAGCUUUUGAAGGAUAAGAGAUUUCACAGAUCAUUGAUUAUAAAGGCAAUAGCCAACACCAACACCCCAGACAUGAGAGGGAUGCUACCUUCGAUGCAGCCUCCCUACCCGGCCCCAGUCAAGCCACCGAUGACUGCUACUACAUGAGUAAGCCCAGGAGUGGGACUGGUGGCUCCGUAAGAAGAGGAGGAGGCACCUGAGCUAGCACACUCAGCUCCCUCACCAUGUGAUGCCCUGCAUCCCCUCAAGACUCUGCAGAGUCCUUACCAACAAGACAGCACUCACCAAAUGCAGCCCUUAGA
Molecule: long non-coding RNA, 388 nt
Organism: Pongo pygmaeus (Bornean orangutan)
Lineage: Eukaryota; Metazoa; Chordata; Mammalia; Primates; Hominidae
Exons: 3
Source: RefSeq, a predicted model, not a curated record